CAUGAUGCAGAGACUCUUCUUGUGACACAGAGACCUAAAUAACUGCCUCUCUGAUCUCUCUCCUUUCUCCAAAGUAUUUGCAAUAUUUGGCUAUCUCUCUCAGUUAGUCAACACAUCGUUCGACAACUCUCAGCCAAGUCACCUCACACGGUUGUUGUGAAGAAAUAGAAAGAGGAAACCGCAUUAAGUAUGUUCACCACAGCAAGUUACUCAUAAAAAUAACAAAGGUUAGUGGCAUGAUCCUCUUCUGGAAACCUCCACAAAACAGCCAUUUUCAUUGAAUAUUGAUAAGAAGAGUUGAAAUUACCACCUAGCCCUCCAUUUGUCUCAACAAAUGCCCAAGGCAGCUUAUAUGCAGACCUCUCUUCAUGUUAUCCCCACAAUUUAAGCGUAGGCUGGGCUGAGAGGAAAUGACUGGCCUCAAGUUAUCCAUUCAUUUUCCAUCACUGAAGAUGAGCUGAACUUGGGAAUUCCUGAUCACAGGCCAACUCUUCAACUAUUGUACCACUUUGAGUCUCCCUGAUAGAAUCAUUUUUUUCAGUAAACUCAGAGCUACUUGGAAUUUGAGUUGCAGAAAUUAAUUUGUAAGUGCUCAUAAGAAUGAUUGU
Thamnophis elegans (Western terrestrial garter snake) is the source of this 608-nucleotide long non-coding RNA. RefSeq lists it as uncharacterized. The transcript has 4 exons. The record is from RefSeq and is a predicted model, not a curated record. Lineage: Eukaryota; Metazoa; Chordata; Lepidosauria; Squamata; Natricidae.